GACGAACGCUGGCGGCGUGCUUAACACAUGCAAGUCGAACGGAAAGGCCCUGCUUUUGUGGGGUGCUCGAGUGGCGAACGGGUGAGUAACACGUGAGUAACCUGCCCUUGACUUUGGGAUAACUUCAGGAAACUGGGGCUAAUACCGGAUAGGAGCUCCUGCUGCAUGGUGGGGGUUGGAAAGUUUCGGCGGUUGGGGAUGGACUCGCGGCUUAUCUGCUUGUUGGUGGGGUAGUGGCUUACCAAGGCUUUGACGGGUAGCCGGCCGGGGAGGGGGACCGGCCACAUUGGGACUAGGAUACGGCCCAGACUCCUACGGGAGGCAGCGGUGGGGAAUAUGGCACAAUGGGCGGAGGCCUGAUGCAGCAACGCCGCGUGCGGGAUAACGGCCUUCGGGUUGAAAACCGCUUUCGCCGGUGACAAGGCGUGAGUGACGGUAAUGAGUAAAGAAGCACCGGCUAACUACGUG
This 468-nucleotide ribosomal RNA is filed under the name uncultured bacterium. RNAcentral describes it as "partial 16S ribosomal RNA". It matches the Rfam family "Bacterial small subunit ribosomal RNA", at positions 28 to 507 of the family's 1533-position model. The record is from RNAcentral.